Molecule: ribosomal RNA, 301 nt
Filed under: uncultured bacterium
Lineage: Bacteria
Description: partial 16S ribosomal RNA
Rfam family: Bacterial small subunit ribosomal RNA
Source: RNAcentral
CAGUAGCCGCGGGAAUACGUAGGGUGCGAGCGUUAAUCGGAAUUACUGGGCGUAAAGCGUGCGCAGGCGGUUUUGUAAGACAGGCGUGAAAUCCCCGGGCUCAACCUGGGAAUGGCGCUUGUGACUGCAAAGCUAGAGUGCGACAGAGGGGGAUGGAAUUCCGCGUGUAGCAGUGAAAUGCGUAGAUAUGCGGAGGAACACCGAUGGCGAAGGCAAUCCCCUGGGCCUGCACUGACGCUCAUGCACGAAAGCGUGGGGAGCAAACAGGAUUAGAUACCCCUGUAGUCCCUGUCUCUUAUAC